This 427-nucleotide ribosomal RNA is filed under the name uncultured prokaryote. RNAcentral's name for it is "bacterial SSU rRNA". It matches the Rfam family "Bacterial small subunit ribosomal RNA", at positions 355 to 774 of the family's 1533-position model. The record is from RNAcentral.
UGGGGAAUCUUCCGCAAUGGACGAAAGUCUGACGGAGCAACGCCGCGUGAGUGAAGAAGGCCUUCGGGUUGUAAAGCUCUGUUAUUAGGGACGAACGUACGACGUGUAAAUAAUGCGUUGUAGUGACGGUACCUAAGGAGGAAGCCACGGCUAACUACGUGCCAGCAGCCGCGGUAAUACGUAGGUGGCAAGCGUUGUCCGGAAUUAUUGGGCGUAAAGCGCGCGCAGGUGGGAUCAUAAGUCUUAUGUAAAAGUGCGGGGCUCAACCCCGUAAAGCGUGAGAAACUGUGAUGCUUGAGUGCCGGAGAGGAAAGCGGAAUUCCCAGUGUAGCGGUGAAAUGCGUAGAUAUUGGGAGGAACACCAGUGGCGAAGGCGGCUUUCUGGACGGUGUCUGACACUGAGGCGCGAAAGCCAGGGGAGCGAACG